GCUUGUUCGUUUUGUUUUUGCUCGCUUUAACUCAUUUGUGCAAACUGUUUGUCUUUGGUGGAGAAAAACAAAAUUAGUCUAAAUCAGAAUCAGUUGAGUCUACGAAAACAACUUUUUUGGUCUGUCCUAACAUUUCCUCCGUUCGUAAUCGAGAGACCGUACAGGCACAACACCAACACCAGCUAACCACCGCCAAGCACUCAGCUGGUUUUACAUUCGGAUAUUAAUACCUGGCACAAAUACACACUCGCGGAACCGCUUUCUUUCCCGCGGCCCAUAUAACUCUUUGAUUUAUUCAAGACCGUCCCCUUCCUCCCCGCCCCUAACUCUAGUCGAUCGUCUUUGUCGUUGAACCCUUGACUCGAGCAAUGCGAGUGUUCUAAUUUUACAACACUCUCCGAUGACUGCUUGGAGUGCUUGGCUGUGUGUUUACCAACGCAAAAGCGUCGCAAGUUUCUUUUCGACCGUCAGCAAUCAGAUGGUUUUGGUCACCCACAAAACAAAAUAUAAAACUACGCGCGUACUUGUGACGUUCUUGACCUGAGAAACCGAGUGAGGACGGGGUUGUUCGGUAUUGGUUGCUUGUUUACUUGAACUUGAUGGUGAUUUUGGCUACCAUUUUACGCAAAAUUCUAUUGCUUAUGGCUAAGAACAGUUGAAAGUCGUUCUACUCUAAUUCCGACUCCUUCUUCAGCUCUCAUUUUCACUUUUGUUUAUUGAAAUAUCAAAACUGGUUAUUUCUAGAGUAUGAUGAGUCAUGGGUUUCCUAUGCAGAUAGAACCUAUUGAAAAUUUAAUCUAGAUUUUCUAGUUAUACAAUUCAUGUUUAUUGGUUGACACGAAUGCCUAAUUAUGGUAAAGUGUAAAUAAUAAACUAUAAUAAUAAUAAAAUGUUUAUUGGAACCUGUUAUUAUUACAACUAAUCCGACCAUCGCAAUAAUUUCGUGCAUUUAAUUUUUUUGUUUUUUUUUUGUUGGCCCAACCUUUUUUUGGGGCUUUUUCUAUGACCCCAGAAGUCAUUUUGUGUCAUUGGUUUACCCACACGCAGAAAAAUUCAGCCUUAUCAAUUUGAUAAAUAACAUUAUCAACAUUAAUAAUUUUUAGUUAUUGAUUUGAUAACCUUGGUUUAUCGUGUUGAUAAAUUUUUAAUAUCAAAACGAUAAUGUUUAUUGUUAGUUUGAUAAAUUCAAUUAUAGCUUGAUUUUUCUUGUGCACGUUUUCUCCUGUCAUUCGAAACAUAAACAAAACAAAUGUGGAACCUGUUUCGAUGCAAAGCCGCUGUAUCCGGAGAAUUUGUCCUCGAAACCCGUGAAAACCGUGCGGCGAAUCGAGGUCGUUGUCGGCGUCGAGUCAGUCAAAAACGCAGUCUCCUCUGAAGCUACCAAGCGAAAAGUGUACUGGAAGAAGUAUAUAAAGCCGGGAAUGCCACCACCAGCGCUAUCCCUGCUGUUGCGGCUUCCAGUAGAAACCGGGAACCUCAAAAGUUAAGAUAAAUCUCACCCGAGGUACACCUCAGAAGCACUUGGCUGCUAUUUGUUGAAGAAUCGGUCACUAAGAAUGUUCGAGCCAGUUGGUCCACCAUGGAGGUGACCCACAGCCUGGAGAGUCGAAACAUUCCAGCGCAAAAGGCGGCAAUGACCAAAAGCAACCGAUUGACCUUUAAAGAGUUUGGUGUAUGCGAGAUUGUUGGUGAACCAGCGCAGGAUGGGAAUAACAUAAUGUACAUGUUAAAAACACAAAUUUAUGUAAAUAAAUGAAGUUUUUUUAAGCAAAAUAAAAAUGUUUGAGUUCAAUUUUCAGAAGUACAAAAAACGACCUGCGUAAUAACGAUAAAUACAA
Long non-coding RNA from Culex pipiens pallens (northern house mosquito), 1838 nucleotides. RefSeq lists it as uncharacterized. The record is from RefSeq and is a predicted model, not a curated record. NCBI's taxonomy places the organism in Eukaryota, Metazoa, Arthropoda, Insecta, Diptera, Culicidae. The transcript is spliced from 2 exons.